RNAcentral lists this long non-coding RNA (581 nucleotides) under Felis catus (domestic cat). RNAcentral's name for it is "lncRNA (ENSFCAG00000053708.1)". Lineage: Eukaryota; Metazoa; Chordata; Mammalia; Carnivora; Felidae. The record is from RNAcentral.
UCCAUGGAGACAAAGGCAAAUUCACAGGCAGGAAAAUGCAGCUAUUCCAAGAUUCUUGGAGGAUCUUCUCUUAUUGUGAAGCUCAUCAUCAUCAACUAAGCAGACAGUUUUUGAGAGAAUGCACAAUUGGCAGUGAGUCAUCUUUAUUUCCUUCAGCUUGAGCACAGAGAAGCAAAAGGAGAGAUUAAGACCAAGGAUGGGAUCAGCCUGUGGCGGGAAAAGUCAAACUGUAGCAAACCUUCUGGGCCAAUCCAUCUGACUGGCUGUGCAGGGGAUGGGGCAGCCUGGAUAAUUGAUGGACUCAAUCUGACCAGGCACAGGUGGCACGGAGACGGCAUACAGCAGCUUCUCGGGUUUGCCAGUGCCAUCUGUUGCCAUAAGAACAUCUGUCGUCAAGGUCACCCUGUCACCCUCUGUUAAAGUUACAGGUUUGUUGUGAAGAAUUAAUAAUAAUAACACGAAGAAUUACUGAAUAAUUAAAAGAAAAAGUACGCAUAAUUUUAAAAAAGGACUUCCCUGUAAAAGGUUUGCCAAAAGAUUAUUGUCAUUGUUCUCUCUCGCUAAAACCUUAGCUCAUUUCA